GCCGCCUUAGCUCAGUUGGUAGAGCAUAUCUUUCGUAAAGAUAAGGUCCGCGGUUCGAUCCCGCGAGGCGGCUCCA
Molecule: transfer RNA, 76 nt
Filed under: Candidatus Kaiserbacteria bacterium RIFCSPHIGHO2_01_FULL_53_29
Lineage: Bacteria; Candidatus Kaiseribacteriota
Also listed under: 2 other names
Description: tRNA-Thr
Rfam family: tRNA
About the family: Transfer RNA (tRNA) molecules are approximately 80 nucleotides in length.
Source: RNAcentral